CCUACGGGUGGCAGCAGUGAGGAAUAUUGGUCAAUGGUCGGGAGACUGAACCAGCCAAGCCGCGUGCGGGAGGAAGGUCCAGAGUAUCGUAAACCUCUUUUGUCAGGAAACAAAGUCGGGGACGUGUCCCCUGCUGCGUGUACCUUACGCACAAGCAUAGGCUAACUCCGUGCCAGCAGCCGCGGUAAUACGGGGGAGGCGAGUGUUGUCCGGAUUUAUUGGGUUUAACGGGUGCGCGGUGGGUCUGUUAAGUCAGCGGGAAAAGCCCGGGGCACAACCCCGGCCCGCCGUUGAAACUGGCAGUCUCGAGUUGGAGAGAAGUAGGCGGAAUGCGCGGUGUAGCGGUGAAAUGCAUAGAGAUCGCGCAGAACUCCGAUUGCGAAGGCAGCAUGCCGGAUCCACACUGACGCUGAGGCACGAAAGCGUGGGUAUCGAACAGGAUUAGAUACCCGAGUAGUC
RNAcentral lists this ribosomal RNA (459 nucleotides) under uncultured bacterium. RNAcentral describes it as "partial 16S ribosomal RNA". It matches the Rfam family "Bacterial small subunit ribosomal RNA", at positions 338 to 795 of the family's 1533-position model. The record is from RNAcentral.